UAUGUCCUUACAAGACGUACCGCUUUAUUCUUUAGGUGAAGAACGACCCAUCCACGGAUGCCCUUUUAUCUGAUAUAUGCAUCGGGACUUCAGCUGCCCCAACUUACCUCCCUGCCCAUUAUUUUGAAACCAAGGACCCAUCAGGCAAAGUUAGAGAGUUCAAUCUGAUUGAUGGUGGUGUGGCUGCAAAUAAUCCAGUAUGUUCAUCAUUUAUCUUCAGCUCUUGAACUUGCAUAACUCAUAACAUAUUGAUGAAUCCUAUCAUUAAUUUCCUUUUGAAUUUCCAGACUUUAGUUGCCAUGAGCGAAGUUUCCAAAGAAAUCACUCGGAAGAAUCCUGACUUCUUCCCCACAGCGCCCAUGGAUUAUGGUCGAUUCCUGGUCCUGUCCUUGGGGACUGGUUCAGCAAAAUGUGAAGAAAAGUAUGAUGCAGAUGAAGCAGCCAAGUGGGGUGUCUUGGGAUGGUUGACUAGUGAAAAUUCUACUCCGUUAGUGGAUGUGUUUACAGAAGCUAGUGGUGACAUGAUUGAUCUUCAUAUUUCCACUGUUUUCCAAGCCCUGCACUGUGAGGAAAAUUAUAUUCGAAUUCAGGUGUAUAUCACUCUCAUGUGGUUAUUCAAGAUAUCAAUUACAUUCUCCCACGAAGUAAUUAAAACUAAAAACUAGAAAACGAAGAACCCUGACUAUAAGAUAUGUGUGAAAUGCAGGAUGACACGCUGACCGGAACACUUUCGUCCGUGGAUAUUGCCACGAAAGAGAAUUUGGAGAAUCUUGUGAAAGUGGGUGAGAAAUUGUUGAAAAAACCAGUAUCAAGGGUGGAUUUAGGCACUGGAAUCUUUACACCUGUUGAUAAGAUGACAAAUGAAGAGGCUCUCAUAAAGUAUAUAUCUGCUCAAGUCUAUAUAUUAUAGUGAUUUCUAAGGCAUCUUAUUUCAUCUUGCUGAUUUGUUUUUGUUUGACUGUAUAGGAUGGCUAAAUUACUGUCAAGGGAGAAGCAUCUUCGUGAUUCUAGGUCACCAGUUGGAAAAGUUUCUACUUCGAAGUGAAUAUGAUUCGUAAACUAGAUUGUCCAGAAAAUUAAUUAGACGCAAAUUUAUAAAUUUGCUUAAACACUAAGGAGAUUAUCUGCAUUACGUAAUUCUGUUGUUUUUAUUUUUUUAUUGUUACAAGAAAUGAAUAAUAUGGAAUUCUUUCCGUCGUUAAAAAUGAAUCAUCGCAGAAUGCUGUUGCACUUUUAAAAAUAUUUUUGCUUGCUCAUUUUCUUAUAAUUUUGUUUACCUUUUGUUCUUCUUGCCUUGUGGUCUGACAACUCAACGUGUUUAUCGUUGUUUUGGCUAUACAUACAUCAACACACACACACACACACACACAUGUAGUUUGUUCACGUUCUCUAAUAUUUAGCUGCUGAUCAUAGCCAAACCUACUUAUUCUUUCUGAUCUUGGAUAUGAUCAUAUCCAUUGAUUCUUACAUAGAAUCUUUAUCGAAAUUAGAUGGUUCACUUUGCUGUUUCCUAGUUUUUCCUUGGCAAGACCAUGUAGAAAAAUAAUGUCUAGAUAAAGAAAAGUUUUUUUUUAUUUUUGAUAGUUUCAUUAAACUCAACUUCAACUUAGGAGAUCAAACUUGAAAUCUUGAACUUCAAAUUAAAUUAUAUAUAUGUUGUCCUGAUAUGACCCCGUCGACUUGCCGAGUUAAAAAAACUUAGAUGACUAUUAAAAACAUGAGUUGACUUUAAAAAUAUUAUAAUAUUUUUUUGAAAAAAAUAAUGAGAUGACAACACAAAAUCAAUUCAGGGGUCAACCUAGGUUAGGUCAUGAACUCCAUUGAGUUUAGUAACCUUGUUUUUUUUUAAUUUUUUUUAUUUAAUUAUAGGAUAAAAAUAGAUGUUUGCAAAACCAAGUACCAACUUGAUAUUGAGAUAUUUUUUCGAGACCAUGAUAAUCCCAUUAAAAAUUAAAUCGAAAUAAAUCAUGAAAUUUAAUUUCCAAUAAUUAUAUUUGUUUUGCAAUUAUUUUUUAUUUAAUAAUAUAAUAAAAAAUAGAUGCUAAAAAAACCGAGCACCAAUCUAAUGCCAAUACGUUUUUUUAUGAGAUCGUGAUGACUCCAUAAAAAACAAAUCAAAUAAAAAUAAAUUGUGAAGUUCAAUUCAUAAUAAUUAUAUUUUUCUUUGAAAAUAUUUUUUAUUUAACAAUAUGAUAAAUUAUUUUUUAUUUAAUAAUAUGAUAGAAAAAAGUAGAUAAUUGUAAAAAAACUAAACACCAACUCAAUAUUAUUUUGAGACUACAGUAACCUCUUGUACGGAACAAAAAUAAAUAAUUUAAUUUAAUUUUUAAUAAAUUCAUUGCUAAACUUGAAAAAAAAAAACAAAUAAUAUGUUAACAAUAUGUGAGGAGUCCUCGAUUAAUCAUUGUUAAAGUUGAGAUUUAUUAGAAGUCUUAACCUUUGGUUUAUCCAAUUUUUUUUAUUUAUAUACAUAGAGCAAUAUAUAAUAAUUAAGAUAGAGAUUACAAAAGUAGAGUAAUGCUUAUAAUAUUUCCUACAUAGUAUAUCUUCUAUAAUAGUUAAUAACUAAUUAAUUAAUUAAUUAAUGCGGAGUUUGGUGGGAAUACGGUGAUUCUCGAGCAUUUUUUUUAUUAGUGGGGAAGUAGAAAGGUCAAGCACGUGGACCAGUAAUUACGCAAUUCAUGAGUAGUUUGAUCAGAACGAAACGAAUAUUGUAAUGGUUCGGAUUUUGGUUGUGUUCUCAAAAGGAUAACAAUGGACUUAUGAACUUGUCCCGUUUAAGGCUGCGAAGUAUAGUUAAUUAGGUGAGCAACAAUUGUCCACGUUGAUCUUAUGUAAUAAAGCUAGUGUUUAAAACACUACACAAUUCAACAUUUAGCCCUUUCAAGUUUUUUUAUUUUUUUUAUUUAUAAUUAUCGAGAGUAUAUUAAAAAAACCAUAAAGCAAAUAACAUUUUCAAUUUUUUCUUCAUUAAUAUUCAACAUGUAAUGUAAAAUCCUGAAUUGUAUUUAUAAAAAGGAUUAUAAGAUAAAAAUAAUAUCAAGUUUCUAAUUAACUAACAUAAGUUCUUUUCGAACUAUAAAAUCUUUUCCUAUUUCGAUGGAGGUGGAAUGAGAGGAAUUAUACCAGGAACUAUCCUUGCGUUUUUAGAGUCCGAGCUUCAGGUAGUCUAGAAAUCGGUGUCUUUAAGGACGUAUUGUUGCAUGUAAUAGACCUGCAAGAUCAUCCAUUUUUUUAUGCGUGUGCAAGCUCAUGAUGAUAAUAUAAAAUAGAGUAGAAUAAGAAACUACGUACAGGGAACGUUUCCUUGUUCCACUUGAGGUAUAAAAUAGAAUAGAAUAAGAAUAUAUCACACUUGCGUGCAGGAUAAUAGUUUAUUUAUACAGGUAUAUAAUUGUAAUGUCUUUUUCCAGGUAUAAAAUACUCCGUAAUUUCAUCUCCUAUCACUGACUAGUUUGUUUUGCUAUUCAAAUUGUAGAAGCUGGAUGGUGCAGACGCAAGACUUGCAGACUACUUUGAUGUGAUUUCAGGCACCAGCACUGGUGGCCUCGUGACUGCUAUGCUAGCUGCCCCUAAUGAGCAAAACCGCCCUUUAUUUGCCGCCAAAGACAUUAAUGACUUCUACCUUGAGAACUGCCCUAAAAUCUUUCACCAGGACGGGUAAUAAUCCCGGAUAUGAAUGCCAUAAUAACGAGUUAAAUAUAGUAUAUCAAGUGCUCUAAAACUACAUUUUUUUUCUCCUUCAAAUGUCUAGAUACUAACUGCAUACUCUCUGGCAAUAGGUCUCCAUUGGCUUCUGCCGGAAAACUGAUCAAGAGUUUGAAAGGACCAAAAUACGAUGGCAAAAUUCUGCAUAGCAUUGUCAAGGAAAAAUUGGGAGAUAAACGCCUGCACCAGACCAUGACAAACAUUGUGAUCCCAACUUUUGACAUCAAGCGCCUUCAGCCAACAAUCUUUUCAAGCUAUCAGGUUCGUUAUAUAUACAGACACAACUCUUAAAAUUCUAUGUGUUACUUGAGAAAAGAAUCGUUUCACACUGCAAAAUAUAUGUCCUAACAACACGUACCGCCUAUCCACGGAUGCCCUUUUAUCUGAUAUAUGCAUCGGGACUUCAGCUGCCCCAACUUACCUCCCUGCCCAUUAUUUUGAAACCAAGGACCCGUCAGGCAAAGUCAGAGAGUUCAAUCCGUAAGUUAAAAGAUUUUUUAUUAAAAAAUUUUAUUUUAUUUUAUUAAAUUGAAGUAUUUAAAUCAAUUUUUUUAAUUUUAUACUAAAAAAAUACAAUUUUUUUCUUUGAAGAUAAUAUAUAUAUAAAAAAUGAGACUCGUGUGCAACCAUGCCAGACCUAACCAUGGUUGCGAGAACCAUGUGGUUGUCAUAUUCAAGGUACUUGGGUCUGACGUCUAGAAUUUUCAUAAUUUUCAUGAGUCAAGUAAAAGUAAUGGUUUAGUUGAUGAUCAAAAUACUCAUGUAAAAGUGUUGAAUGAUCUCAAGACAUCUAACUAAUAAUUCCUUGUGGACUUCUGAUAUAUUGUUAAGAAAAAAACCAGACCCACGCGUCUGAGUCUGGCAACCAUACUAGACCCAUGCGUCGUUUUUUGAAAAAUAUAGGAAUUCACUUAUAAUUAUUUUAAAAAUAUAAUUAUUUUGUAUUUUCACCUUUUUUUUAAUAAGAUAUAUUUUUAUAUUUUAUAUUUUUUUCUUCUAUUUUGGGACAUUAGCCACACGCAUCCUUAAAAUUCACUUAUUUUUUUUAUUAAUCUCUAAUUUUAGUGAAGAAAUCAUCUAUAAAAUUGCACAAAUUAAGAUAGUCAAAAGAACAAUAAGUUUUUUUACAUAUACAAUAUUUUUUUCCCUUACAACAUAAUGUAUCAAUUCUAAAGUUCAAAAGUUUUCUCUUAUUAUCAUAUAAUUCAAAUUUUUGUAUAUACUAAUAGUUAUAAUGUAGAAUAAACUCUCAUUGUAACAAACUUUAAUAAUUAGAUCAUAUAACAAUAUCUCAAAUUUAAAAAAACAUGAACCCUUUAAAAAAUUGUCCAACAUUUAGAUGAAAACAUAAAAUUAAUAUUUUUAUCUACAAUGCAUAAAAAAGAUUUAUUUUUGAAGACUUGAAAUAAAUCACUUGGAACUUAAUAUUUUUUUUCAUUUUUUUAUAAAAUAAGUUACACAGAUAAAAAAGAAUUUGUAGUUAAUUUCUACUGUAUAUCAAUAAAAAAUUCUGCUUGAAUGAGACAAUGUUUGUUUUUAAAAUCCAAUCAUACUUUUAAAAAAUUUUAAAUUUUUUGACUCAAACGUGAGUCUGACAAACCCAGAUGUAUGGGUGUGACAUGGUUGUCAAGCCCACACAUAUUAAUCUGACAAUUAUAGUAGACUCAAGCGCCUUAGUUCUCGCAGUUAUGCCAGAUCUAAAAUACGUGAGAAUGACAAACAUGUAUGAUAUGAUAAAUAACUAAUAAAAAAGACAAAUAUAUAUUUUGGUUGUUGAAAAAAAAAAAUAAUUAAUCACCAACAGCAAUUCAAUUAUUAUUUAUUUACAUACAUUAUAUCAUAUAAAAAAACACGACUACACAUCCAAUUAGGCAGUUUAGCAUCCAGUUUUUCUCAUUAUCCUUUCGCUGUCCUCUCACGGAGGCUGGGCCUAACGAAAGAUAUAGCAUUGGCUAAGUUUUGGGGUUAAUGAUGCAUUCCUCAACUAUAAGAGAUUGAUUAAUCAGUUUUCUUUAUCAAUUCACGGAAUCGAUUUGUUUAAUACGUUAAUGACCUUUCAUUAAUAACAUCGAUCUGACAACAAAUAAGUUAAUUGUAUAAUUAAACGAACCAAAUCAGUUUAAUUGUCGUCUUUGUUUGAUUUAUAAAUUUGAAAUCUUCAAUUGUUCUCUAUUACUUAACGUGUCAGCUCAGAAUUGUAUAACAGAAUAAUUGGAUCUAUUCAAAAUUUGACCCCGUCCAAGAAAAUUAUACAAGGUUAAAUUUGGGCGAGUAAAAUCUUUCGACUUAAUUGAAAAUUCCAUGCUUCAUGAAGCACAGAAGUCUAUAAAUAACUCCACACUCCCUUUGGGAAAUUACUAGUUUCAAAACUUAAAUUAGAUUUCAGCACUAGCUAUAUACAUCUCCCGAGACUCUCAGGAAGUUUAAGCUAAACAUCUCUAACUCUUCCGCUUCUAGGCUCUCGAUCAAUAUUAGCUAGCAAUGCCUUUAAAUUACUCCUCAAUCUCUCAUAUCGACACUUUAAGAUCACCCCUUCAACCCCCAACUUUUGGAAACCAAAUCACUAUUCUUAGCAUCGAUGGAGGUGGAAUAAGAGGAAUAAUACCAGGAACUAUCCUUGCCUUUUUAGAGUCCGAGCUUCAGGUAGUCUAGAAAUCGGUCACUUUAAGGACGUAUGUUGCAUGUCAAAUAGACCUGCAAGAUCAUGCAUUUUCUUAUGCCUGUGCUAGCUCAUGAUGAUCUAUAAAAUAGAGUAGAAUAAGAAACUACAGGGAACGAUUCCUUGGUCCACUUGAGGUAUAAAAUAGAAUAGAAUAACAAUAUAUCACACUCGCAUGCAGGAUAAUAGUUUAUUUAUAGCGGUAUAUAAUUUUAAUGUCUUUUUCCAGGUAUAAAAUACUCCGUAAUUUCAUCUCCUAUCACUGACUAGUAUGUUAUGCUAUUCAAAUUGUAGAAGCUGGAUGGUGCAGACGCAAGACUUGCAGACUACUUUGAUGUGAUUUCAGGCACCAGCACUGGUGGCCUCGUGACUGCUAUGCUAGCUGCCCCUAAUGAGCAAAACCGCCCUUUAUUUGCCGCCAAAGACAUUAAUGACUUCUACCUUGAGAACUGCCCUAAAAUCUUUCACCAGGACGGGUAAUAAUCCCGGAUAUGAAUGCCAUAAUAACGAGUUAAAUAUAGUAUAUCAAGUGCUCUAAAACUACAUUUUUUUUCUCCUUCAAAUGUCUAGAUACUAACUGCAUACUCUCUGGCAAUAGGUCUCCAUUGGCUUCUGCCGGAAAACUGAUCAAGAGUUUGAAAGGACCAAAAUACGAUGGCAAAUUUCUGCAUAGCAUUGUCAAGGAAAAAUUGGGAGAUAAACGCCUGCACCAGACCAUGACAAACAUUGUGAUCCCAACUUUUGACAUCAAGCGCCUUCAGCCAACAAUCUUUUCAAGCUAUCAGGUUCGUUAUAUAUACAGACACAACUCUUAAAAUUCUAUGUGUUACUUGAGAAAAGAAUCGUUUCACACUGCAAAAUAUAUGUCCUUACAAGACGUACCGCUUUAUUCUUUAGGUGAAGAACGACCCAUCCACGGAUGCCCUUUUAUCUGAUAUAUGCAUCGGGACUUCAGCUGCCCCAACUUACCUCCCUGCCCAUUAUUUUGAAACCAAGGACCCAUCAGGCAAAGUUAGAGAGUUCAAUCUGAUUGAUGGUGGUGUGGCUGCAAAUAAUCCAGUAUGUUCAUCAUUUAUCUUCAGCUCUUGAA
RNAcentral lists this long non-coding RNA (7457 nucleotides) under Populus trichocarpa (black cottonwood). Its description in RNAcentral is "long non-coding RNA (PTRI_LNC003219)". Lineage: Eukaryota; Viridiplantae; Streptophyta; Magnoliopsida; Malpighiales; Salicaceae. The record is from RNAcentral.